Molecule: non-coding RNA, 344 nt
Organism: Nannospalax galili (Upper Galilee mountains blind mole rat)
Lineage: Eukaryota; Metazoa; Chordata; Mammalia; Rodentia; Spalacidae
Source: the annotation of a RefSeq genome assembly
UGAUCAACACUGAACACAGACUCACCAUGAAGUUUGGGCUGAGCUGGCUUUUCCUCGUUGCUCUUUUAAAAGGUGUCCAGUGUGAGGAGAAGCUGGUGGAGUCUGGAGGAGGCUUGGUGAAGCCUGGGGGAUCCCUGACACUCUCUUGUGCGGCCUCUGGAUUCACCUUCAGUUAUUACAACAUGCACUGGGUCCGCCAAGCUCCAGGGAAGGGGCUGGAGUGGGUGGCAGCAAUAAGUGAUGAUGGAAGUGGUAAAUACUACCUAGACUCUGUGAAAGGCCAAUUCACCAUCUCCAGAGACAAUUCCAAGAACACCGUGUCCCUGCAAAUGAGCCGUCUGUGA